Hippocampus comes (tiger tail seahorse) is the source of this 528-nucleotide long non-coding RNA. RefSeq lists it as uncharacterized. The record is from RefSeq and is a predicted model, not a curated record. The transcript is spliced from 2 exons. NCBI's taxonomy places the organism in Eukaryota, Metazoa, Chordata, Actinopteri, Syngnathiformes, Syngnathidae.
GAUGAUCAACAUGUGUCAACAAGUUACCUUGUCAAACACAUUAUUAGUCAUUUAAUCAUCCUAAGAAAAGUUUUCACCCUUCCCAAACAUCAGUUUUACGUCAACAUGAAAUAAGUAUUUAAGUGUUCCUGUUUACCGUCAGUGGUACAGCACGUUGCUUUUCCGGACAAAUCCAACAAACUGCUUCAGGUUCGAUCUGUGGAGCGAAAAGAGGUCAACCGAUAUGUCCAGACUGCUGAAGAUCAUCCUGGUGGUGGCCAUGUGUGUGCUCUUUUUAGGCACACUGCCGUUUGGCGCAGAGGCCCGCAGAAAACACCGUACAUUCAAGUUACAGCAUGGCAUCAUCCGGGCCCAGUCCAUGGGACCCAGGUGGCCGUGACUUGAUGAUACAACAAACAAGUGGGGAUGAAUAAUUAAACACAGCACAACCAAGACAAGCUGUAAAAGUUUUAAAAAAAAUGUCUUGUCAUGUCAUAGGAACAAUUCUGUUCUCCUAUACACGAAAAAUAAAAUGAAUCCAAAACAUCA